AGUUAUGGCCAUGCCGCCCUGAACAAGACCUAAAAUGUCUGAUCUCGGAAGCUAAGCAGGGUCGGGCCUGGUUACUACUUGGAUGGUAGACCACCUAGGAAGACCAGGUGCUGUAGGCA
RNAcentral lists this ribosomal RNA (119 nucleotides) under Pteropus alecto (black flying fox). Lineage: Eukaryota; Metazoa; Chordata; Mammalia; Chiroptera; Pteropodidae. The record is from RNAcentral.